This 414-nucleotide ribosomal RNA is filed under the name Cryptosporidium ryanae. RNAcentral's name for it is "SSU rRNA". It matches the Rfam family "Eukaryotic small subunit ribosomal RNA", at positions 367 to 816 of the family's 1831-position model. The record is from RNAcentral. Lineage: Eukaryota; Apicomplexa; Conoidasida; Eucoccidiorida; Cryptosporidiidae.
GAAUUAGGGUUCGAUUCCGGAGAGGGAGCCUGAGAAACGGCUACCACAUCUAAGGAAGGCAGCAGGCGCGCAAAUUACCCAAUCCUAAUACAGGGAGGUAGUGACAAGAAAUAACAAUACAGAGCCUUACGGUUUUGUAAUUGGAAUGAGUUAAGUAUAAACCCCUUAACAAGUAUCAAUUGGAGGGCAAGUCUGGUGCCAGCAGCCGCGGUAAUUCCAGCUCCAAUAGCGUAUAUUAAAGUUGUUGCAGUUAAAAAGCUCGUAGUUAAUUUUCUGUUAAUUUUUAUAUACAAUGCUACGGUAUUUAUAUAAUAUUAACAUAAUUCAUAUUACUUUUUAGUAUAUGAAACUUUACUUUGAGAAAAUUAGAGUGCUUAAAGCAGGCUAUUGCCUUGAAUACUCCAGCAUGGAAUA